Molecule: ribosomal RNA, 522 nt
Filed under: uncultured Prevotella sp.
Lineage: Bacteria; Pseudomonadati; Bacteroidota; Bacteroidia; Bacteroidales; Prevotellaceae
Description: bacterial SSU rRNA
Rfam family: Bacterial small subunit ribosomal RNA
Source: RNAcentral
AGAGUUUGAUCCUGGCUCAGGAUGAACGCUAGCUACAGGCUUAACACAUGCAAGUCGAGGGGCAGCAUGUCGGUUGCUUGCAACCGAUGAUGGCGACCGGCGCACGGGUGAGUAACGCGUAUCCAACCUACCCUUGUCCAUCGGAUAACCCGUCGAAAGGCGGCCUAACACGAUAUGCGGUUCACAGCAGGCAUCUAACGUGAACGAAAUGUGAAGGAGAAGGAUGGGGAUGCGUCUGAUUAGCUUGUUGGCGGGGUAACGGCCCACCAAGGCUACGAUCAGUAGGGGUUCUGAGAGGAAGGUCCCCCACAUUGGAACUGAGACACGGUCCAAACUCCUACGGGAGGCAGCAGUGAGGAAUAUUGGUCAAUGGACGAGAGUCUGAACCAGCCAAGUAGCGUGCAGGAUGACGGCCCUAUGGGUUGUAAACUGCUUUUAUAGGGGGAUAAAGUGUGCCACGUGUGGCAUAUUGCAGGUACCCUAUGAAUAAGGACCGGCUAAUUCCGUGCCAGCAGCCGCGGU